Molecule: ribosomal RNA, 440 nt
Filed under: uncultured bacterium
Lineage: Bacteria
Description: bacterial SSU rRNA
Rfam family: Bacterial small subunit ribosomal RNA
Source: RNAcentral
CCUACGGGGGGCUGCAGUGGGGAAUAUUGCACAAUGGGCGCAAGCCUGAUGCAGCGACGCCGCGUGAGCGAUGAAGGCCUUCGGGUCGUAAAGCUCUGUCCUAAGGGAAGAAUAAUGACGGUACCUUAGGAGAAAGCCCCGGCUAACUACGUGACAGCAGCCGGGGUAAUACGUAGGGGGCGAGCGUUAUCCGGAAUCACGGGGCGUAAAGGGUGCGUAGGCGGCCGUGCAAGGCAGGAGUUAAAUCCCUCGGCUCAACCGAGGUGGGAGGUUGAAACUGUAGGGCUUGAGUGCAGGAGGGGAGAACGGAAGUGGUAGUGUAGAGGUGAAAGGCGGAGUUAUUAAGGGGGACACCAGGGGCGAGGGCGGAUGGCGGGACUGCAAGUGACGCUGAGGCACGAAAGCGUGGGGGGCGCACAGGAUUAGAUACCCCAGUAGUC